GCGGGGCGGGGAUGCCGGGCCGCCCGGAGCCCCUCGCUGCGGCUCCCGCGGGCCGCUGCGGGCGUGGGGCAGCCCCUGCCCCUGGCGUGGAGAGCGCCAGCUCCGCCGAGGAGGCAGCUGAGCCGGGGACUCCAGCCGCUUGGGGGACUGAACUGCAGCUACAGAAGCAACAAGUGGACCUUUCAAGAUGCAUAUUGGGCUGCGAGAAAUGAAGGGAGACACUGGAGAGACCAAUGAAGGAAGGAAGAAGCAUGUUUCCUGGGUUUAAUAGGAAAAACUUGCUUUCUGCAAACAACUGAGAAAACUGCCCUUGGAAACUGUUUCUUUGGUCCACAUGGAGCAGCUGGAACUUACACUGUGAGGCCCUUGACGGGAC
Long non-coding RNA from Lontra canadensis (Northern American river otter), 376 nucleotides. RefSeq lists it as uncharacterized. Lineage: Eukaryota; Metazoa; Chordata; Mammalia; Carnivora; Mustelidae. The transcript is spliced from 3 exons. The record is from RefSeq and is a predicted model, not a curated record.